UCAGCCGCCGCGGUAAAACCAGCACCUCGAGUGGUCAGGAGGUUUAUUGGGCCUAAAGCAUCCGUAGCCGGUUGUUCAAGUUUUCGGUUAAAUCUAUGCGCUUAACGUAUAGGCUGCCGAAAAUACUGGACAGCUAGGGAGUGGGAGAGGUAAACGGUACUCAAUAGGAAGGGGUAAAAUCCUUUGAUCUGUUGAUGACCACCUGUGGCGAAGGCGGUGUACCAGAACACGUUCGACGGUGAGGGAUGAAAGCUGGGGGAGCAAACCGGAUUAGAUACCCGGGUAGUCCCAGCUGUAAACGAUGCAAACUCGGUGAUGCAUUGGCUUGUGGCCAAUGCAGUGCCGCAGGGAAGCCGUUAAGUUUGCCGCCUGGGAAGUACGUACGCAAGUAUGAAACUUAAAGGAAUUGGCGGGGGAGCACA
This 422-nucleotide ribosomal RNA is filed under the name uncultured archaeon. RNAcentral's name for it is "bacterial SSU rRNA". It matches the Rfam family "Archaeal small subunit ribosomal RNA", at positions 458 to 880 of the family's 1478-position model. The record is from RNAcentral.